UAGGGAAUCUUCGGCAAUGGACGAAAGCCUGACCGAGCAACGCCGCGUGAGUGAAGAAGGUUUUAGGAUCGUAAAACUCUGUUGUUAGAGAAGAACAAGGACGUUAGUAACUGAACGUCCCCUGACGGUAUCUAACCAGAAAGCCACGGCUAACUACGUGCCAGCAGCCGCGGUAAUACGUAGGUGGCAAGCGUUGUCCGGAUUUAUUGGGCGUAAAGCGAGCGCAGGCGGUUUCUUAAGUCUGAUGUGAAAGCCCCCGGCUCAACCGGGGAGGGUCAUUGGAAAAUGGGAGACUUGAGUGCAGAAGAGGAGAGUGGAAUUCCAUGUGUAGCGGUGAAAUGCGUAGAUAUAUGGAGGAACACCAGUGGCGAAGGCGGCUCUCUGGUCUGUAACUGACGCUGAGGCUCGAAAGCAUGGGGAGCAAACAGG
Molecule: ribosomal RNA, 429 nt
Filed under: Gemmatimonadota bacterium
Lineage: Bacteria; Pseudomonadati; Gemmatimonadota
Description: Gemmatimonadetes bacterium partial 16S ribosomal RNA
Rfam family: Bacterial small subunit ribosomal RNA
Source: RNAcentral